This 253-nucleotide ribosomal RNA is filed under the name uncultured bacterium. Its description in RNAcentral is "partial 16S ribosomal RNA". It matches the Rfam family "Bacterial small subunit ribosomal RNA", at positions 524 to 776 of the family's 1533-position model. The record is from RNAcentral.
UACGUAGGGGGCUAGCGUUGCUCGGAAUCACUGGGCGUAAAGCGCACGUAGGCGGAUUGUUAAGUCGGGGGUGAAAUCCUGGAGCUCAACUCCAGAACUGCCUUUGAUACUGGCGAUCUCGAGUCCGGGAGAGGUGAGUGGAACUGCGAGUGUAGAGGUGAAAUUCGUAGAUAUUCGCAAGAACACCAGUGGCGAAGGCGGCUCACUGGCCCGGUACUGACGCUGAGGUGCGAAAGCGUGGGGAGCAAACAGG